GUUAAGAUGGCAGAGUCCGGUAAUUGCAUAAAAUUUAAGCCUUUAUUCCCAGAGGUUCAAUUCCUCUUCUUAACA
RNAcentral lists this transfer RNA (75 nucleotides) under Macroscelides proboscideus (short-eared elephant shrew). RNAcentral describes it as "transfer RNA-Leu (UUR)". It matches the Rfam family "tRNA". Rfam says of the family: Transfer RNA (tRNA) molecules are approximately 80 nucleotides in length. Their secondary structure includes four short double-helical elements and three loops (D, anti-codon, and T loops). The record is from RNAcentral. Lineage: Eukaryota; Metazoa; Chordata; Mammalia; Macroscelidea; Macroscelididae.